CACGAAGGAACGCAGACUAAGAACGCCACGUCCUGGGGUAACGUCUGCAUAACCCACAUCCUGUGGG
Molecule: small RNA, 67 nt
Filed under: Cytobacillus oceanisediminis
Lineage: Bacteria; Bacillati; Bacillota; Bacilli; Caryophanales; Bacillaceae
Description: Bacillaceae-1 RNA
Rfam family: Bacillaceae-1 RNA
Source: RNAcentral